GCUAGUGUAGCUUAAUUUAAAGUAUAGCACUGAAAAUGCUAAGAUGAAAAAUAAUAUUUUUCCGCAAGCA
Molecule: transfer RNA, 70 nt
Filed under: Rhincodon typus (whale shark)
Lineage: Eukaryota; Metazoa; Chordata; Chondrichthyes; Orectolobiformes; Rhincodontidae
Description: tRNA-Phe
Rfam family: tRNA
About the family: Transfer RNA (tRNA) molecules are approximately 80 nucleotides in length.
Source: RNAcentral